Molecule: transfer RNA, 71 nt
Filed under: Loxodonta africana (African savanna elephant)
Lineage: Eukaryota; Metazoa; Chordata; Mammalia; Proboscidea; Elephantidae
Rfam family: tRNA
About the family: Transfer RNA (tRNA) molecules are approximately 80 nucleotides in length. Their secondary structure includes four short double-helical elements and three loops (D, anti-codon, and T loops).
Source: Rfam by way of RNAcentral
CCAGUGGAGGUUCAGUGGUAGAAUUCUUGCCUUCCAUGCAGGAGACCCAGGUUCGAUUCCUGGCCAAUGCA